This 1767-nucleotide long non-coding RNA is filed under the name Brassica rapa (field mustard). Its description in RNAcentral is "long non-coding RNA (BRAP_LNC000011)". The record is from RNAcentral. Lineage: Eukaryota; Viridiplantae; Streptophyta; Magnoliopsida; Brassicales; Brassicaceae.
AACGCCAGUGUUUCAGCUUCUCCUUCAACUGGAAACACAGGAAAGAGAGCCAGUGGUCAAAGAAUAUUUACAAAGUGUGAAGUUGGGUUUAAUUAGUUGAAAUAUCUAUGGAAACCUGAAUACUUAAACAGCUUCUCGAGUCCAUGUCUUUGCAUAUGUUAGCAACGAAGAGGGAUGGUGGUAUCAUUAUCUUGUCUUGCGGUUGUUACACCACACAUCUUACCAUUGAUCUGCAGUCCCAAUGACCAAGAGAUUCCAUCAAUAUAUACAAUUUAUAAAAGCUACACAAACUCUGCAUCAAAUACUAAACUGUAGACGAUUACCAUUGGGUAACUGUAACAGCUUGCACAACGCACACACACAAAAGCAUGGUGCUCUUCUUCCACAUCCAUCAGCUCUCACUCUCAAGCUCCUCCUGACCAUCUCCAAUCUCGCCGGCAAACUCACAAGAUCCUUCCUCAUCACAUGAUUGCACGGAAACAAACAAAUAUAUGCACAUCAUCAUCACAUGAGAUUGCAAACAAGCAAAAUAAAAAAAAAAACAUUGAAAACAAGAGGGUAAAAUUGUAUAUUUGCCAAGGAUUGAUAGGAAUAACAAAGCGAUCUCAUAAGUGUAAAAGUCAAAUAGAACCUAACUUCUCUAACGAUCAUUCAAAUAGACAGGAUGCUAGUUCCUAAUUGUUUCUACAUUAUGAAUAUACACAUAAGCUUCUUCCUUUUCAAUCUAAGAAAAUAUAGAAUAUUGCCAAGAACUGAUAGGAAUAACAAAAUGAUCUCAUAAGUGUUAAGUCAAAUGGAACCUAACCUCUCUAACAAUCAAGUAAAUGACAGGACGCUAGUUUCUAAUUGUUUCCACAUUAUGAAGAUACACAUAAGCUUCUUCCAUUUUCAAUCUAAGCAAAUAUAGAAUAUUGCCAAGAACUGAUAGAAAUAACAAAAUGAUCUCAUAAGUGUUUCCACAUUAUGAAGAUACACAUAAGCUUCUUCCAUUUUCAAUCUAAGCAAAUAUAUAAUAUAUGCCAAGAACUGAUAGAAAUAACAAAGUGUUCUCAUAAGUGUAAAUUCAAAUGGAACCUAACCUCUCUAACAAUCAUUCAAAUAGACAGGAUGUUAGUUUCUAAUUGUUUUCACAUUAUGAAUACAUAAAGCUUCUUCCAUUUUCAAUCAAAGUAAAUAUAGAAUAUUUGCCAAGAACUGAUAGAAAUAACAAAGUGAUCUCAUAAGUGUAAAAGUCAAAUGGAACAUAAGCUCUAACUAUCAAUCAAAUGAUGGGACGCUAGUUUCUAAUUGUUUCCACACUAUGAAUAUACACAUAAGCUUCUUCCUUUCUCAAUCCAAGUAAAUAUAGAAUCUCCCCAAAAAAAAAAAGAUUUGAAAAAAACAGAAAAAGAACGAAAUUAGGUACCUUGAGCAAUGGGGAUUCUCAUCUUUUCUUCCACCAUCUGUUAUCUCUUGAAUCUUCUUGGCAAACUUCUUCCUCUUUCACCUUAACUCUUUGCUGCAGAGAAACAAAACACCAACCAAACAGUCAGGACUCACUCAAUUUCUACAAUAAUCCGUAAAUUUUUCAAUAUUUUUGAUCAGAGAAACUCAUACCUCUCAGUUCUGAAUUUCAAUGAAGUGAUCUUAACCUGCUUCUUCUUUGAUUUUCUGCUUCCUUCCCACUCUCAAAUCACUGAAACACCAUCAGAUCAAACAAGUCAGAAGACUAUAAAACUAACAGAUAUUGAGUCACCAACGAGCUAAUCUAGUAUUGUUGCUGGCUGG